RNAcentral lists this ribosomal RNA (253 nucleotides) under uncultured bacterium. Its description in RNAcentral is "partial 16S ribosomal RNA". It matches the Rfam family "Bacterial small subunit ribosomal RNA", at positions 524 to 776 of the family's 1533-position model. The record is from RNAcentral.
UACGUAGGGUGCGAGCGUUGUCCGGAAUUAUUGGGCGUAAAGAGCUUGUAGGCGGUUUGUCGCGUCUGCUGUGAAAAUCCGGGGCUCAACCCCGGACUUGCAGUGGGUACGGGCAGACUAGAGUGUGGUAGGGGAGACUGGAAUUCCUGGUGUAGCGGUGAGAUGCGCAGAUAUCAGGAGGAACACCGAUGGCGAAGGCAGGUCUCUGGGCCACUACUGACGCUGAGAAGCGAAAGCGUGGGGAGCGAACAGG